GGAGAUUUAGCUUAGUGGUAGAGCGCUUGCCUAGGAAGCGCAAGGCCCUGGGUUCAGUCCCCAGCUCCG
This is a non-coding RNA of Rattus norvegicus (Norway rat), 69 nucleotides long. The record is from Rfam. NCBI's taxonomy places the organism in Eukaryota, Metazoa, Chordata, Mammalia, Rodentia, Muridae.